Molecule: ribosomal RNA, 588 nt
Filed under: uncultured delta proteobacterium
Lineage: Bacteria; Deltaproteobacteria
Description: bacterial SSU rRNA
Rfam family: Bacterial small subunit ribosomal RNA
Source: RNAcentral
CCUACGGGAGGCAGCAGUGAGGAAUUUUGCGCAAUGGGGGAAACCCUGACGCAGCAACGCCGUGUGAGUGAAGAAGGCCCUCGGGUCGUAAAGCUCUGUCAAGGGGGAAAAAAUCCUUUUGAUGAAUAGUCAUUAAGGACUGAUGGUACCCCUAGAGGAAGCACCGGCUAACUCCGUGCCAGCAGCCGCGGUAAUACGGAGGGUGCAAGCGUUGUUCGGAAUUACUGGGCGUAAAGGGCGUGUAGGCGGUUUGGCAAGUCAGAUGUGAAAGCCCUGGGCUCAACCCAGGAAGUGCGUUUGAAACUGCCAUCCUAGAGUAUGGGAGAGGAGAGUGGAAUUCCCAGUGUAGAGGUGAAAUUCGUAGAUAUUGGGAGGAACACCCGUGGCGAAGGCGACUCUCUGGACCAAUACUGACGCUGAGACGCGAAAGCGUGGGGAGCAAACAGGAUUAGAUACCCUGGUAGUCCACGCCGUAAACGAUGAGAACUAGGUGUAGCGGGUAUUGACCCCUGCUGUGCCGUAGCUAACGCAUUAAGUUCUCCGCCUGGGGAGUACGGUCGCAAGGCUAAAACUCAAAGGAAUUGACGG